This 1272-nucleotide long non-coding RNA is filed under the name Anas platyrhynchos platyrhynchos (common mallard). Its description in RNAcentral is "lncRNA (ENSAPLG00000030442.1)". Lineage: Eukaryota; Metazoa; Chordata; Aves; Anseriformes; Anatidae. The record is from RNAcentral.
GUCAUAAUAUCAAGACUGACUGGCUGGCUUUCAAAACCAGGGGAAGGGAGAACCUCAGACACCACCUUUCCUAAUCAUGGAUUUUCGAAAAAGAGAACCUUUUCCUUUCUUUAAUCUCUAUUGGAAAUUCUGGUAUAAGGGAGAAGUGCCAUAUUUUGGACCAUGUAAUAAGAAUGACAGAAACAUCUUCAUUUUACAACAUCAUACAGAGGGCUGGGAAAUUCUGAAUGCUGCUCCACCUCUAAGGUCUGCUGGGCUUGGGCCAUCUGUAAGGACUAUAUAUGAUAAACAUUAUCUUAAAGCCUGUGCAAUUAAACUUCUCAUGGUUUUGGUUCUUGAUAUGAAAAAAUUAGAUGCCACUUGUGAGAGGAGGUGUAGGCGUUCUUCUCUUCUUGGAUCUUAUUCCAGACUUCUUAAGGUAACCAUCUAAAAUAAUUUGAAUGAAUCAUUUUUGCAAUAUUUCUCUCCAUUGUUUAUAGAGGGAGCCUAGGUAACCAGCUUAGACUAUGUGACUACAUUUAGACAGUUGAAGAAAUAUGUCUUGAUAGAUGCCUAAUUUUUAGAUGGCCAAAGAUAUCAGCCUAAACAUUUAACUAAUCAGCAAGCUGUGUGGAGAGGAAUCUUUUUCUCUGAAAAAUAGAGACAUAUUUUCAAAUGCAAAAGCUUAUUGACGCAAGAGUCUAAGCAGAAGAUACUGUAAACAGUAACUAUGGAGACAUGCAUUUAAAACAAUACACUAAUGUCUAGUGAUUGUCUAAAUACAUAUUCUCGGACAGCAAAAAUACAACUCAAAUUGAUGGAGAGGGGAGUCAAAAAUGGAGAAAUGCCUUCCAUAAACAGCAACAGUACGUAAGCAUGAAACUUGGCAAGUCUGUUCCCAUUAUCACAUAGAUUGUGUUUAAAGAACACUUAGAAAUUAGGUACUCUCUUGUUAAGUCUCUGAGGCGUUCCUUCCUUUUUCAGAGCUCAUUUAAGUUACAAACUCUAUACAUACUAUACAAUGUAAUAUCUUCUAUUUUUCAAAAUAUAACCUCAGAUACACCUCUUUUUCCCCUGAGGACAGUGUCCCAACAACGAACCUAAGUAGUCUUACUGACUUUCUCUUACUAUCUCAGUGCACUAUUUUAGACACCAAGACAAUUUAACAGGAGUGAUAAAGGGGCACUGUUCUGGAAGAUGAGGCUUGAAUCCUUUUUUACAAGGUUGUCACAGCUGUGCUGAACUUGAGUUAAGGGGAGUAAUAAAGCAGUGUCUACUGCUAAAUAAAAGUCA